CUCAUGUUCAUUAGAUUAUUGUGAUGGCUAUAUUCUAAUUUGGGACAAAUGGAACAGACUUCAUGCCGGUCUUGUGGACGAUAAGUCACUUGGCUGGAGCAGUGCUGCUUCCUGAGAAUGCCACAGAGAAGAUUCUAGAUCUAGCCUGCAUACCGUUUCUCUUCUUCAACAGGCACAAGACUCGUAAAUGUGAGGGAAAAAAAAUCAGGGGUUACAAACUGUGCCAACGCAUUGCUGUAUCUCAAGAAUUUCCCAUUCAGCUGUGUGAUGGCUGAUUAAAGCAAGAGUCACAGGGAGCCACAAUUAAAUGUGGGAUCCAAGAGCUUUUAUGGCAAUUUCUUCUCUAUCAGGUGGCAACGUGAAAAGCUUUGACAUUAUUAAACCUCCUAAAGCUUAUUCCCAAGUUUAGGACUUAUCUGGGUGUUGUAUAUAAACCUCAUGGCAACCACAAAUCUAAAAUCUUAAGAGAUACACAAAAAAGGGAAGAAAGCCAAACACUACAGAAACUCAUCAAUCACAAAGAGGAGAAGAGAAAAAUAAAGGAAAAGGGAGCUACCCGCACAACAACCAGAAGGGACGAGGCAUCUCCCCAGGUGCACACACCUGAGACCAGCGGCAGCCCCUCCCCCAGAGACCCGCUGGGAGGUCGGGGAGGAGCAAGUUCCCAACGCAGCAGCGCUGAGAAGCUCCAGGGAAAGUAGAGGGAUUUACACUAUAUAGAACCGAAAAAGAUGGAAGAAGGAGAGGAGCAAGAACAGGACAAGAUGAUGCCUGUGGGGAGCCCGAGGGGUAGCACAAUAGAGAGAGAGCACUCGUGUGAGUAGGCCGAGGGGCAGAAGGAGGAGAUGAUCUCAA
This is a long non-coding RNA of Canis lupus familiaris (dog), 855 nucleotides long. RefSeq lists it as uncharacterized. The record is from RefSeq and is a predicted model, not a curated record. The transcript has 7 exons. NCBI's taxonomy places the organism in Eukaryota, Metazoa, Chordata, Mammalia, Carnivora, Canidae.